UGGGGAAUAUUGCACAAUGGGCGCAAGCCUGAUGCAGCCAUGCCGCGUGUAUGAAGAAGGCCUUCGGGUUGUAAAGUACUUUCAGUAGGGAGGAAGGUGGUUAAGUUAAAUACCUUAAUCAUUUGACGUUACCUACAGAAGAAGCACCGGCUAACUCCGUGCCAGCAGCCGCGGUAAUACGGAGGGUGCAAGGUAUCGAAUACUGGGCGUAAAGCGCAUGCAGGUGGUUUGUUAAGUCAGAUGUGAAAGCCCUGGGCUCAACCUAGGAAUCGCAUUUGAAACUGACAAGCUAGAGUACUGUAGAGGGGGGUAGAAUUUCAGGUGUAGCGGUGAAAUGCGUAGAGAUCUGAAGGAAUACCGGUGGCGAAGGCGGCCCCCUGGACAGAUACUGACACUCAGAUGCGAAAGCGUGGGGAGCAAACAGGAUUAGAUACCCUGGUAGUCCACGCCGUAAACGAUGUCUACUUGGAGGUUGUGCCCUAGAGGCGUGGCUUUCGGAGCUAACGCGUUAAGUAGACCGCCUGGGGAGUACGGUCGCAAGAUUAAAACUCAAAUGAAUUGACGGGGUCAUAGCUGUUUCCUG
Molecule: ribosomal RNA, 583 nt
Filed under: uncultured bacterium
Lineage: Bacteria
Description: partial 16S ribosomal RNA
Rfam family: Bacterial small subunit ribosomal RNA
Source: RNAcentral